CACCACUCAAGCCUGGCUUGGUGUUGGGCGACGUCCCCUUUGGGGACGCGCCUCGAAACGCUCGGCGGCGUGGCACCGGCUUUAAGCGUAGCAGAAUCUUUCGCUUUGGAAGUCGGGGCCCCGUCUGCCGGAAGACCUACUCGCAA
This 146-nucleotide unclassified non-coding RNA is filed under the name uncultured Cenococcum. RNAcentral describes it as "sequence contains ITS2". The record is from RNAcentral. Lineage: Eukaryota; Fungi; Ascomycota; Dothideomycetes; Gloniales; Gloniaceae.